AUACGGAGGGUGCAAGCGUUAUUCGGAAUCACUGGGCGUAAAGGACGCGUAGGCGGGUUGGCAAGUCAGAUGUGAAAUCCUACAGCUUAACUGUAGAACUGCAUUUGAAACUGCUAACCUAGAGUGUGGGAGGGGGAGAUGGAAUUAGUGGUGUAGGGGUAAAAUCCGUAGAUAUCACUAGGAAUACCGAAAGCGAAGGCGAUCUCCUGGAACAUAACUGACGCUAAGGCGUGAAAGCGUGGUGAGCAAACAGGAUUAGAAACCCCAGUAGUCC
This 274-nucleotide ribosomal RNA is filed under the name uncultured bacterium. RNAcentral's name for it is "partial 16S ribosomal RNA". It matches the Rfam family "Bacterial small subunit ribosomal RNA", at positions 523 to 796 of the family's 1533-position model. The record is from RNAcentral.